ACGCAAUUGCAGUAUUUAUCUCUGUUGUCCUUUCCCUUGAUCUUGUUACUUUUCAUUUGCUCUGUUGCCAUCAUGGCAACAGACCUUGAUCGAUUUGCUUUCACAUUUAUCAUCAUCUUAAGUGCCAUUCCAAUCAUCUUUUCGGGAUACUUCUUUAUCAACACUCUCGUCUUCCUCGGCGGCGAUCCUGUUUGCGACCAUCCGCGCUUGGAAUGGGAUUUCCGGUUCGGCAUCUUCCUUCUCGUUCUUUCCGUCGCGGGAUCAAUCGGCACUAUGUGCAGAUCGAAGGGCCUCCUGAUGGCUUGCCUAACCAUCCUGGGUACUUUCAUCGCGUUCAUCCUCGUGGUCAGUUGGAAUAUCGAAUAUGGUGGAACCUAUGCUGAAGGUUCGAAGAGGAUUGAUUCGUCCUAUCGCCUUGAUAACUACGCGCCGUGGGCGGUGAAGUUCUUGUUGAAGGACGACGGUUGGACUAACUUUCGCAACUGUCUUAAUUAGAGGAAAAUUUGCGAAAAAAAACUCGACGACAAUAAUUUUUACGAGAACGGUUGGUGUGCUCCGCCCCAGUAUUGCGGCUUUCAGGACAAAAACCAGUCAUGGGUGAUCCCUGAAUCUGGUUUUUACGCGGAGGACAUCAACUGUGUUACUUGGAGCAGUGACAAAACAAAGUUGUGCCACCAGUGCGAGACGUGCCAGGCAGUAUAUGUCUACGUCAUGACGUUCAAUUGGCACCUUCGAGGGAUUUGGUUAGUGUUCGGCAUCGGCAUCUGGGUCAUGUGCCUUGCCUUUACUUGUGAGCAUGAGAACAAACAAAGACAACAGCAAAAUAACCGAUCGAACUAACGUCGACAAUGUUGAAAGUAACCCAAGUGUUCAACUUGAUCUGCCUGCCUAAUGCAACAACAUGAAGUAGUGUUACUAAUAUAUAUAUA
Molecule: long non-coding RNA, 929 nt
Organism: Rhododendron vialii
Lineage: Eukaryota; Viridiplantae; Streptophyta; Magnoliopsida; Ericales; Ericaceae
Exons: 2
Source: RefSeq, a predicted model, not a curated record